UACGUAGGCAGCAAGCGUUGUUCGGAGUUACUGGGCGUAAAGGGUGUGUAGGCGGUUCUUUAAGUUUGGUGUGAAAUCUCCCGGCUCAACCGGGAGGGUGCGCCGAAUACUGAGGGACUAGAGUGUGGGAGAGGAAAGUGGAAUUCCUGGUGUAGCGGUGAAAUGCGUAGAUAUCGGGAGGAACACCUGUGGCGAAAGCGGCGCACUGGACCACAACUGACGCUGAGGCGCGAAAGCGUGGGGAGCGAACAGG
Molecule: ribosomal RNA, 253 nt
Filed under: uncultured bacterium
Lineage: Bacteria
Description: partial 16S ribosomal RNA
Rfam family: Bacterial small subunit ribosomal RNA
Source: RNAcentral